Molecule: ribosomal RNA, 494 nt
Filed under: uncultured bacterium
Lineage: Bacteria
Description: bacterial SSU rRNA
Rfam family: Bacterial small subunit ribosomal RNA
Source: RNAcentral
GACGAACGCUGGCGGCGCGCCUAACACAUGCAAGUCGAACGGGAUCUUUUAGAGAGCUUGCUCUCUGGCUGAUCUAGUGGCGGACGGGUGAGUAACACGUGAGCAACCUGCCCUGGAGUGGGGGAUAACGUCUGGAAACGGACGCUAAUACCGCAUAACAUCAUUGAGCGGCAUCGCUUGGUGAUCAAAGGAGAAAUCCGCUUUGGGAUGGGCUCGCGCCCGAUUAGGUAGUUGGUGGGGUAAAGGCCUACCAAGCCAACGAUCGGUAGCCGGACUGAGAGGUUGAACGGCCACAUUGGGACUGAGACACGGCCCAGACUCCUACGGGAGGCAGCAGUGGGGAAUAUUGCGCAAUGGGGGAAACCCUGACGCAGCAACGCCGCGUGAUUGAAGAAGGCCUUCGGGUUGUAAAGAUCUUUAAUCAGGGACGAAGGAAGUGACGGUACCUGAAGAAUAAGCUCCGGCUAACUACGUGCCAGCCGCCGCAGUAACAC